Molecule: unclassified non-coding RNA, 231 nt
Filed under: Paraglomerales sp.
Lineage: Eukaryota; Fungi; Glomeromycota; Glomeromycetes; Paraglomerales
Description: partial contains 5.8S ribosomal RNA and internal transcribed spacer 2
Source: RNAcentral
GUGAAUCAUCGAAUUUUUGAACGCAAAUUGCGCCUUUUUCGGUAGGCAUGUCUGUUUGAGGUCGCCGUUUAACAAAUAAUGUGCAGCGUUUUUUGUUGCACACGUUGAUGAGCUUUCCAAGAAUUUUAAAUUGUUGUUGGCGCAUAAUGAACAGCGUGAAAGUUUUUUUCAUUUCGAGUGUAUUAAAAUCUUUGCUUGGGUUGUGAAAAAACAUAAUCGAACAAUGGGAGU